GCCUGGUGUGGUGGCACAUGCCUUUAGUCCCAGCUACUCGGGAGGCUGAGUUGGGAGGAUAGCUUGAGCCCAGGAGUUCUAGACUGUAAUGUGCUGUGUCGAUCAAGUGUCCACACUAAGUUUGGCAUCAAUAUGGUGACCUCCCAGGAGCAGGGGGCCACCAGGUUGCCUAAGGAAGGUGAACCAGCCCAGGUCAGAGCAGGUCAACACUACCAUGCUGAUCAAUCAUGGUAUUGCUCCUGUGAAUAGCUACUGCACUCCAGCCUAGGCAACAUAGAGAGACCCUGUCUCU
Molecule: signal recognition particle RNA, 292 nt
Filed under: Saimiri boliviensis boliviensis (Bolivian squirrel monkey)
Lineage: Eukaryota; Metazoa; Chordata; Mammalia; Primates; Cebidae
Description: Metazoan signal recognition particle RNA (ENSSBOG00000002785.1)
Rfam family: Metazoan signal recognition particle RNA
About the family: The signal recognition particle (SRP) is a universally conserved ribonucleoprotein. It is involved in the co-translational targeting of proteins to membranes. The eukaryotic SRP consists of a 300-nucleotide 7S RNA and six proteins: SRPs 72, 68, 54, 19, 14, and 9.
Source: RNAcentral